This 253-nucleotide ribosomal RNA is filed under the name uncultured bacterium. RNAcentral describes it as "partial 16S ribosomal RNA". It matches the Rfam family "Bacterial small subunit ribosomal RNA", at positions 524 to 776 of the family's 1533-position model. The record is from RNAcentral.
UACGUAGGUGACCAGCGUUGUCCGGAUUUACUGGGCGUAAAGAGCGCGCAGGCGGUCGUUCAAGUCGAGUGUGAAAGCCCCCGGCUCAACUGGGGAGGGUCACUCGAUACUGAUCGACUUGAGGGCAGGAGAGGGAAGCGGAAUUCCCGGUGUAGCGGUGAAAUGCGUAGAUAUCUGGAGGAACACCGGUGGCGAAGGCGGCGUUCUGGACUGCAACUGACACUGAAAAACGAAAGCCAGGGGAGCAAACGGG